RNAcentral lists this ribosomal RNA (460 nucleotides) under uncultured bacterium. RNAcentral's name for it is "partial 16S ribosomal RNA". It matches the Rfam family "Bacterial small subunit ribosomal RNA", at positions 338 to 795 of the family's 1533-position model. The record is from RNAcentral.
CCUACGGGAUGCAGCAGUGAGGAAUAUUGGUCAAUGGACGAGAGUCUGAACCAGCCAAGUAGCGUGAAGGAUGACUGCCCUAUGGGUUGUAAACUUCUUUUAUAUGGGAAUAAAAUGUUCCACGUGUGGGAUUUUGUAUGUACCAUAUGAAUAAGGAUCGGCUAACUCCGUGCCAGCAGACGCGGUAAUACGGAGGAUCCGAGCGUUAUCCGGAUUUAUUGGGUUUACAGGGAGCGUAGGUGGAUUGUUAAGUCAGUUGUGAACGUUUGCGGCUCAACCGUAAAAUUGCAGUUGAAACUGGCAGUCUUGAGUACAGUAGAGGUGGGCGGAAUUCGUGGUGUAGCGGUGAAAUGCUUAGAUAUCACGAAGAACUCCGAUUGCGAAGGCAGCUCACUGGACUGCAACUGACACUGAGGCUCGAAAGUGUGGGUAUCAAACAGGAUUAGAUACCCGUGUAGUC